Molecule: long non-coding RNA, 4672 nt
Organism: Oryctolagus cuniculus (rabbit)
Lineage: Eukaryota; Metazoa; Chordata; Mammalia; Lagomorpha; Leporidae
Source: RefSeq, a predicted model, not a curated record
GGUGCUGCUCAGGUCACAGGUCCUUCUGUUCUUCGACCAGGCGCUGUGUGAGGGGAAUGCAUUCUACUGAAACACUGUUCUUUUCAUUUUUCAAUAUUGAUUUCUUGAAAAUAGGUUUCGGUAUUCUGCGGGCAUUGCCAACUGAGAAGGGGCAUUAGCAAAGAAGAAUCUUAAGGGAUGUCUACAUGAGGUCUUUACAAUUGGUUUCAAAGUGUAACAUUGAGUCCAUCAGCCUCUCUGCAGAUGAGGGAAUCAAAUAACCCACUUUGUUUCACCGAAGAGCAUAAAUUUUGCCUGAAUCGACCCAAUUGGUUUUACACCAGCUUUUGCCUACAUUGCAAAUCAGGGAGAGAGGAAAAGAAAUUGAGCAAUUAGAUAGUGUAGCAGGUUUAUCUUAAGAAACUUCACUUGAAUUUUGUUCUGAUUGGAAGUGAAAAAACACAAACAAACUAACAACAAUGACAACAAAAACCCCCAGAUCUUCCAGGCUGCUUAAGCUGCUCAGGCCAGAGGCUGGUGUGGGUGACAGCAAAGCUUGGUAUGUCCUUGUGACCACAGUUUGAAGCUGCCCUUCACAGUGAACCUCCUUCUUAGGCAGGAGGUCUCCUGAGGGUCCUGCUAAUAAGCUAUCCUCACUUCUGCCACUGUGCCUUUGCCCACCCUGCACCUGCCUCCUUUUGUUCUCUGCAGCACACAGAUCACAGGGGCCUUGUGAAGGUGAAACUGGAUCAUCAGCCUCUUGCUUAGAGAAGAUGUCAGCCUUUGGUUAAACUGGGCAUACUUUAAAGAAUUUUCUUUUGCUCAGUGCAAGAAAUUUUUAGUUAGAAGAACUAAAGCCUGUUUAAGGAUAACAUGGCGUACUGAAUACAAUUCUGGGUGCAUGGCAGUGUGGUGAGGGAAGGGGCAUGGGAUUCUAUAUUAAACAAAUAUCCCAGAAGAGCCUUAUGUUUGGCGAGCUUAUCAAACAUAGCAGGCUGGGAGCUGGUUGGGCUGGGAAAGCACAGGUGCGAGUCCAGUGCUUUGAUGUGCAAUCUUUAAAACUACUCAAUACUGUUCUUGGGCAAUGGCUCCCUCCAAUCGUAUAUACAGCGCCAUCUAAAUGAAUUCUUAGGGUUUGAUGAGUGCAAAGUCUAGAAGCACCUUGGAGCUAGGUAUUUAAUAAAGCAUUUGAGGAAAAAUCACAAUGACAGGCUAGGUCAUCUAACUCAUGGUCAGAGUAGUCACACAAGAUUGUGUGCCCUAAAGAACUCUACAACUAAGUUUGAUGCUCUGCUGCCAUCAUCUUGAUAUUCUGGAUGAUUUUUAUCUUUGAACUUAUGUUUUUUAAAUGCAGUCUGGUGAGACAGGGGAGCAUGUACAGGAGUGGAGGAGAGAUGUAUAAUAUGCACUGCACCUUCUCUAGGCCACUCCAUUUGCAGAAUUAUGGUGGCCCCAGGAAGUGUGGGAGUUUGUGAGACUCAAGGUAAGUAUAAAAGUGUGAAUGAAGGGUUGUGACUGAGAGCCCGGAAAGGCCAUACUUUUCAUUUGAGCCAGAAUUUGCUUCCAACUUAGAAAGGGAAUUGCAUUUAAGAAAUGUACAUGAGGAAGAAGCCCUUUCAUAUCUUUUCUUGCUGGCGUUACCCCUCUGUGUUAGCCAACCACUUACACUGAGGACAGUGACCUAGAGGGAAAGGGAUCGAUAGGCCAACUCAUGGUUCCUUUUUCUUUUGGCCCUUCCUUACCCAUCAGUAAGUUGAAGGUGGAGUGGCUUGGUAGAGUAUGUGCACAGCCAAGAGGUGCAAAGAGACAGCUGUUCUAGUCUUGGGCAGCACCUCCACUGCUCUGAUAAGGCAAAAUAUCCCUGUGGGUAUGAGCUAUGAAAUAGCAAUUGUAAAAUUUCUGUGAUUCUGCCUUAGUUAAAUUGCUCUUUUGUUUGCAUUUUUUUUUUUUAAAUUUUUAGCAGGCAGAGUGGAUAGUGACAGAGAGAGAGAGACAGAGAGAAAGGUCUUCCUUCACCCUCCAAUGGCCGCCGCAGCUGGCGGAUGGCAGGAGCCAGGUACUUAUCCUGGUCUCCCAUGGGGUGCAGGGCCCAAGGACUUGGGCCAUCCUCCACUGCACUCCCUGGCCAUAGCAGAGAGCUGGCCUGGAAGAGGGGCAACCGGGACAGAAUUCGGUGCCCCGACCGGGACUAGAACCCAGGGUGCCGGCGCCGCAAGGCGGAGGAUUAGCCUAGUGAGCCACGGCGCCGGCCUUCUUUUGUUUGCAUUUAAAACUGGCAUUCUAAGAAUGAAUAUGGGAGAAUAGUAAUUUAUCCUAUUAAUUUUAAAUUUCAACGUUGCUUUACUUAGAAUAAUAUUAAAUUGCUGAAAAGAAAAAAAUAACACCAUGACAACUUGGGAGGUGGAGAGAGACACAGACAGACUGUGGAAGAGUAAAGCUUUAUAUUUUAGUGUGUGUAACAGCAGUUUAGUCCUGCUUUUUGAACAAAGAGCUUGCAUUUUCAUUUUGCACUGGGUUCCACAAAUUAUGUCACUGGUCCCGACUCUCACUCCUGCGGCAUUUGCAUGCUUGAGCUUCUAACACAGUGUCUGUUGCCUUCUGGGAGUACAUGACCAAGGGCAGAAGACAGAGGUAGGAGCACCUCUUCUAGCAUAAGGAUGUCACUCUGGCUUCUAUAAGAAAAAUCUCCAGCGGCAGUACCUUGGUCUCCAUGGAAACUGGUAACGUAUGAGAAAUGGAAAGUUAGAACACCUUUCCAUUGUUUUUCCCUCUAGGAAGGAUUCUCCUGUGACUAAAAUAUGCUAAUACGUACAGCCUGCCCCUGGCUUCUGCUAGAGGGGGGGUGAUGUGGUUCCCUCCCUCAAAGCAGAGGCUCGGUGAAGUAUGGGAAUUAGCCUCUCAUCUCACUCUUUCGGUCCUGAACAAGACAAGAGACAAGCAGAAGAAUUCACUGUAUUCCACUGAGUAGGAACUUAGCGCAGCUUUAAAGACACAUAGAAUUGAGGAUCUUUGUUUCCUCGAUUUCUGUUAGGUGGUAGUGUUUUAUUCGCCUGGAGCUAAAAGCCAAGAUCUUUUGGCAGAGUUAGGGUGUAGUUUGGCCUGCAUCAAACUUGGAGGACUGCAGUCUCUGGCCACACCGAGGAUCCCAUGGGGAGAAGGGAGCCGAUUUCAAUGUUCCCACUCACUGGAGCAUCGGAGGUGUUUUCUAUAGCAAGCAAGGAGGCAGGACAGGGUGACAGAGCCGCAGAUUUCUACUGGGCCAGCCCAGAAGUACUUGUCUGCCUCUGUGGUUGUAACUGAGAGACUUUUCAUGUUGUCUUUUGUUGAGAACCCAGGGUGGAUGCUGUAUUCUGGCCCCAUCUCCAUCCAGAGAAAUCCUGAAAGAAUGCCUCUUCAUGGAUCCUACCAGCACUGAUGCCUCAAAAACAUCUUCUGCCCAAACUCUUUUCAACACUUCUUUCUGAAUAACUCAAACUGUGGCAGUCAUGACAACAAAGGCAAAGUGGACAGUGAGAGAGAGGACAGAGAAAAAGGUCUUCCUUUGCUGUUGGUUCACCCUCCAAUGGCCGCCGCGGCUGGUGCGGUGCAGCCGGUGCACCACGCUGAUCCGAUGGCAGGAGCCAGGUGCUUCUCAUGGUCUCCCAUGGGGUGCAGGACCCUGUCGCUCCCCGUCUUCGUGGAGGAAUGACACAGGACCCUGCGCUGUUCUUUUGUCUGCUCGGCCCUCCCCGUGUUUGCUGCUGGUUCUUCCCGGGUUGGCUACCGACCCUUCCACCUCCGUGGAAGGGCGGUUCCCCCUGCCACCUUCCCCACUUCCGCGGGGGAGCGGCACACCGCCGGCCGGCUCUCUCUGGGGCUGCACAGGUGUUCCUCUUAGAUGUUCCCCGAUGCAUGUUGUCUCUCUCCUCCUUUAUAGUCCUCUUCCACCAAUCCCAACUCGGCUGCCCACACGCCGAGUACGCUGCUCUCCUCCAAUCAGGAGCAGGUCCUGCUGCUUAUUGGUUGAACUGGAGGCAGCUGUGUAGAAGCUGUUUUCUCCUCUCCCAGCGCCAUAUUGUGGGAGAGCAGAUGCAUAGAAUAAGUCUUAAUUCCAGUAACUUAGUCUAGUCCGAGUUGCUCCCAGUUGCUCCCCACAGGGCCCAAGAACUUGGGCCAUCCUCCACUGCACUCCCAGGCCACAGCAGAGAGCUGGCCUGGAAGAGGGGCAACCGGGACAGAAUCUGGUGCCCCGACCGGGACUAGAACCCAGUGUGCCGGCACCGCAAGGCGGAGGAUUAGCCUAGUGAGCCAUGGCGCCAGCCUGAGUUAAUAUCUUCAAUAAGCCCCUUGAGAUCACGGAAAUAGUCUUUACUACAAUUUCUAUGCCAUAAAGAAAUAUUUUGUCUCCCCCCUUUUGGAAACACACAUGAGCAUUUUUUCUUUAGAAUUAGAAGAGUUUUAUUCUUAUUGUCUGUGUAUUUUCCCAGCAUGCUCAAGCAUGAAUAUUAAAGAAAAAAACCCAAUGUUUUACAGGUUCUACUUUUUCUUUAAUACUGAGUCAAGGUCAUGCAGCACGUUAUUGAUCACUAGCAUAAUACAAUAAAGCAGCAAACUGAUUUGAAUUUAGGGAUUCUUAUUCUGGAAGCUCACUGUUUUGUGCAGGAGACUGAGGCUUCUUUAAUAAAGAUCCCAACAUGUAUUUUUCCAAACUAAA